This 274-nucleotide ribosomal RNA is filed under the name uncultured bacterium. RNAcentral describes it as "partial 16S ribosomal RNA". It matches the Rfam family "Bacterial small subunit ribosomal RNA", at positions 337 to 628 of the family's 1533-position model. The record is from RNAcentral.
UCCUACGGGGGGCAGCAGUGGGGAAUAUUGCACAAUGGGGGAAACCCUGAUGCAGCAACGCCGCAUGAGUGAAGAAGUAUUUCGGUAUGUAAAGCUCUAUCAGCAGGGAAGAAAAUGACGGUACCUGACUAAGAAGCCCCGGCUAAAUACGUGCCAGCAGCCGCGGUAAUACGUAUGGGGCAAGCGUUAUCCGGAUUUACUGGGUGUAAAGGGAGCGUAGGCGGCCUGGCAAGCCUGAUGUGAAAUACCGGGGCCCAACCCCGGGGCUGCAUUG